RNAcentral lists this long non-coding RNA (332 nucleotides) under Sorghum bicolor (sorghum). RNAcentral describes it as "long non-coding RNA (SBIC_LNC017121)". Lineage: Eukaryota; Viridiplantae; Streptophyta; Magnoliopsida; Poales; Poaceae. The record is from RNAcentral.
AUAUGUCUAAAUAUUCUAUGUGACGAGUAGUAAACUUUAGCACCCAACUAAACAAACCCUAAAUAAAGGUGCUGCCGGCCGACCGGCGGCCUACCUCCGUUCUCACACCUAACAGUGGAGUAAUUAACAACACCUCCCUCCCACUGACGUUCAAAUCAAGCAGCGCCCUCUUCGAAAACUGUACUUCAGGCCUUGUUUAGUUCCAAACACUUUCAAGAUUCUCCAUCAUAUCGAAUCUUACGGCACAUGCAUUAAAUAUAUAUAAAAAUAAAAACUAAUUGUACAGUUUAUCUGUAAAUCGCAAGACGAAUCUUUUAAACCUAUUUACUCCA